Molecule: ribosomal RNA, 484 nt
Filed under: uncultured bacterium
Lineage: Bacteria
Description: partial 16S ribosomal RNA
Rfam family: Bacterial small subunit ribosomal RNA
Source: RNAcentral
AUUGAACGCUGGCGGCAUGCUUUACACAUGCAAGUCGAACGGCAGCGCGGGCUUCGGCCUGGCGGCGAGUGGCGAACGGGUGAGUAAUACAUCGGAACGUGCCCAGUGGUGGGGGAUAGCUCGGCGAAAGCCGGAUUAAUACCGCAUACGACCUGAGGGUGAAAGCGGGGGAUCUUCGGACCUCGCGCUCUUGUAGCGGCCGAUGGCAGAUUAGCUAGUUGGUGGGGUAAAGGCCUACCAAGGCGACGAUCUGUAGCUGGUCUGAGAGGACGACCAGCCACACUGGGACUGAGACACGGCCCAGACUCCUACGGGAGGCAGCAGUGGGGAAUUUUGGACAAUGGGCGAAAGCCUGAUCCAGCAAUGCCGCGUGUGUGAUGAAGGCCUUCGGGUUGUAAAGCACUUUUGGCGGGAACGAAAAGGACUGUGCCAAUACCACGGUUCGAUGACGGUACCCGCAGAAUAAGCACCGGCUAACUACGUG